This 233-nucleotide long non-coding RNA is filed under the name Hordeum vulgare. Its description in RNAcentral is "long non-coding RNA (HVUL_LNC008203)". Lineage: Eukaryota; Viridiplantae; Streptophyta; Magnoliopsida; Poales; Poaceae. The record is from RNAcentral.
CAUACAAGGUGUUUAUGCACACAAAUACCAUCUUUACAUGCCAUGAUAAAAAAUAUCAACUCAUAUCCCCCCAAAAAAACAAUCGUACUAUCAUGCUUUACCAGCUUGUUACCCGGCACGGUAAGUUGUCUGCCUGGAACAGGAUAAGCCGGCAAAUUCUCUAGUAACUCAUCGGUAUAGUUCACGUUUUAGCGGUCUGCAUCCAGUUCUUGCUCACCCACAGCUAUAGCCCC